GUCAGGAUGGCCGAGCGGUCUAAGGCGCCAGAUUUAAGCUCUGGUUCUCGAAAGAGAACGUGGGUUCGAACCCCACUCCUGACA
This 84-nucleotide transfer RNA is filed under the name Stegodyphus mimosarum. RNAcentral describes it as "tRNA-Leu for anticodon UAA". It matches the Rfam family "tRNA". From Rfam's summary of the family: Transfer RNA (tRNA) molecules are approximately 80 nucleotides in length. Their secondary structure includes four short double-helical elements and three loops (D, anti-codon, and T loops). Lineage: Eukaryota; Metazoa; Arthropoda; Arachnida; Araneae; Eresidae. The record is from Rfam by way of RNAcentral.